UACGUAGGGGGCUAGCGUUGUCCGGAAUCAUUGGGCGUAAAGCGCGUGUAGGCGGCCACACAGGUCCGUUGUGAAAACUCGAGGCUUAACCUCGAGACGUCGAUGGAAACCGUAUGGCUAGAGUCCGGAAGAGGAGAGUGGAAUUCCUGGUGUAGCGGUGAAAUGCGCAGAUAUCAGGAAGAACACCCGUGGCGAAGGCGGCUCUCUGGGACGGUACUGACGCUGAGACGCGAAAGCGUGGGGAGCGAACAGG
Molecule: ribosomal RNA, 253 nt
Filed under: uncultured bacterium
Lineage: Bacteria
Description: partial 16S ribosomal RNA
Rfam family: Bacterial small subunit ribosomal RNA
Source: RNAcentral